Struthio camelus australis is the source of this 448-nucleotide non-coding RNA. The record is from RefSeq and is a predicted model, not a curated record. NCBI's taxonomy places the organism in Eukaryota, Metazoa, Chordata, Aves, Struthioniformes, Struthionidae.
CAGCACUAGCAUCAGGAACAUUACACAAUCCCUGGGACCUAUAAAUCCAGGAUUUCCCUGUUCCCCAUCUCUUUACGGCCCUUCACUCCUCUUCAUGGUGGAAUCCCCACCAAGGCUCAGCCAUGCGGAUCCUCCAGCUGCUCUUUGCAAUCAUUGUCAUGCUCUUCUUCCAGGAUGUUCCCGCCAGAGGUCUUCCGGACAGCCAGCAGUGCAGGAACAACCACGGACACUGCCGGAGGCUUUGCUUCCACAUGGAGCGGUGGGCAGGGAGCUGCAGCAACGGUCGCCAGCGCUGCUGCAAGUGAAAGAGGCCACGCCGAGUGGGAGCACCCCAGGGACACCAGCCUGAAACCAGAACUGUAUGUAGGAGUGGCUUUUGGACACCACUUGUGUCUACACCCACAGUUCGGCUUAUCCAUCACCAAUAAAUCUGGCAGUUUUAUAUAAC